Carica papaya (papaya) is the source of this 4276-nucleotide non-coding RNA. The record is from RefSeq and is a predicted model, not a curated record. Lineage: Eukaryota; Viridiplantae; Streptophyta; Magnoliopsida; Brassicales; Caricaceae.
ACUAAGAUCAAACAGCUCCCCAAACCCUAUAAAAGCCUCCUUUUCUUUGCUGCUCCCAAUUGAAAGAAAAUCCUAGUAGAAGGGAGAGGCAGCGUGACGAAAGAUCGAGCGGGAGAGAGGAGAAAGGCGGCUCUGUGCGACCGAUCGGGAGGCAAAGACAGAUUUACCACUAUGGAUGAGAGAACGCAGGAGAUUCGUGUGCGUGUCGUGAACUGAGGUCGCCCCCAAUACGUGGCAGGGAGGGCUGGCAGCUGUGAUGCGGUCCGAUUGGAUCCGUUAGGUGAGGCAUCAUAGUCGCAUGACGAAAGAGAAUCAGAGGCAGUUACAAAUCGGUAGCAACUUGAUCUGCGCGAUCGACGGACCAGAUAUGUGCUUACGGCGCGACGAUGAGGUGGAUUCGGCCGCAUGCAUGUGGUUGAGUGGACGUCACUGCAUGCAGUAAGGGGGAUCGGAAGGAGAGCGGUGCGUGCAGGGAAGGUCACUCCGACGAUGAAGGAGAAGGAGACCGUUGACGACAGAGGCGGAGAGCGGGAGAUGUGAGACAUGCGGGCCUUUGGAUUCACGGUUUGAGGAACCAAUUUGAGGACUGAAAUUCAUGAGGAUUCACGGAUAUGUUUCAAGCCAGCAAAACUGUAAGAAUAGGGUAUGUUUUCAUUCAGGGACUUUAUAUUUUUAUAAAAUGAUUUCUUGAUUUUGAAAUAAUUAUUUAAAGUUUUGUAGGCUAUUUUCAAAUCAUGUAUUGGUAUAAAGUUUCUAUAAAAACCUGCAUAUGAAUGUUCACUGUAUGUGAAUGACCUUUUGUGAUUGUGUAUAUAUAUUGAUGUUGGUGCAAAUAUGUUUUAUUUAGACAUAUAUCAAUAUGUGCAUGUUGUAUUGUAUAUAUUAUAUGCACUCUGUACUUAUAAAUGGUAUAUGUAUGUGGUGCUUAAUGUAUGCAGAUGAACAUAAGAAUAUUUAUGUAAAACUUAUAUAUCAAUUUAACGUAUUGCAUGUGCUUGAUAUAUGUAUAUUUGUACGUGGCUGGUUGCUUAAUGGAUUGGGUGUGUAUGUAAGUUGGUGUAUGUUUAAGACUAAAUGUAUAAACCGUGUGGAUGUAUAUAUGUUAACAGUUGUAUGUAUAUAUGUAUGGAUUGUAAGAAAAAUAUAUAUACGAAUAAAGUAUGUUAGUUUAUGUACAUGGAAAUAUGUAUAUAUGUCAUUUCGUGUUUUAAUAUAAAGAUAUCUAAAUAGUGUAUAUAAAUGUGUGAGUAUUGUGUAUACGAGUUAUGUGUUGGAAUAUGUAAGCAUUUAGGGUAUAUAUGCAAAUGUGCAUUAGAAUAAGGAUCUAGUUUAGAGGUAUGUGUGAAUUAUAAAUCAGUAAAUAGGUCCUUUAAAAGACAAGGAAACCUGUUUAGCGUGCAUAGGAGAGGGAGGGUGUGCGAGUAGAGAUCUGUGGUCUUACAGUGGAUACGACUUCAGUUAGACAUGGCUAGGAAGUCCCAUACGAAACGUCAUGGUUGGGAAUCUAUUAUCUGUUAUCUAUUAUUUGUUAUCUGGUAGCCAUAGCCCUUUGAGGAAUGCGAGUCUAUUAUCUAUUAUUUGUUUGAUAUCCACAUGUAGAGGGGAUCUCUCUGCCCUCAAUGAUACUAGUAAAAACAUCAUCAUGCGAUGAAACACUAAAAUAAGUAAAAAGAAUGAUGUUUAAAUAACAAAAAAUUGUGCAUAUUUGAAUUUUGUUUGUGGACUUGAUAAAUGCCUAUGUAAUAAUAUUUGUAAUGCUGGAAAGUGUUAUGUGAAUUUGAAUUGGGAAUAUUAAUAAUGUUUGGGAAAUGAUGGUGGGAAUGUGGAAUUGGAUAUGUAAGGUAGAAGAAAUUAUGGAUUGAGUAUGGAAUAUGAGAUCAGUAUCUCUGAGAAUGAAAGGAAUAUGUGAAAUAGUAAAUGGAAAAGGAUGAUAGUAAUUGUUGUUUUUCCAGUAUUAUUUUUACAAAAAUGAUUUUUUUUCUUUUGUGAAAUGGUAAUUGAAAAGGGAUGAUGAUUAUGGUUGUUUUCAAGCUUUCUUUUUUUUUUUUAAACAAAAAUGAUGAUGAUUUUGAUUGUCUUUCAAAUUAGAAUUUUCUUAACCUCAUUUUAUUUGUAUGAACGUUUGUUGCAUCUCUAUGUUAUGGGCACUGCCCCGUUUCUUACUAAAGUAGUGGAAUGUCUCCCCAAAUUUUCAGUCUUUAUAGAUUAAAAAAAGGUUCAAAUCAAUUUUAAGACUGAGUAGGAGACUUUGCAUAUAUUUCUUAGUUUAGUUAUUUUGGAUUGUAGAAAUAGAUCAGAAAUAAAAUAUUGAUUGUAAAGGGCCUGGACAAAGCAUCAUAUAUUGACUUUUGUACAAAUGAUGAAAUGAUUUUGAAUUUUUAUUAGAUUGUUGCGCCAUAGGAGAAUGUUACAGUGUGGUAGUGUUUCCUUCUUCGAGGAGAAGAUGGGACGUUACAUAUAGAUAUCAUUAAGGAUGGAGAGCCAAGUUUCUGCAUCCUUCAGGUUUAUAAUCAUAGAAUCAUAAAUAUGAGACAAACUUAAUUAAAUAAGUACGCUAUAUGAGAGUAAUGUGAUUUAUUCUAAUAAUCACUUCCUUAGUUAAUGUAUUGUAAAACCCAAACAUUUUGCAAAGUAAUUAUUUGAGAAAUUAAUGAAAUAUGCCUGCCCAUUAUAUCACAUAAUUGUAUAUAACCUAUAAUACACUAGGUUGGAUGUGUCCAUAUGUUGAAUUUCAUUUUUUCUUUAUUUCUUUAUGCAAAACUCACAAAAAACAAAUUUCCAUACAGAUUUUCUAUCCAACUAUUCUCAUUUAUUAAAGAUCUCUAGCCUCUUCCAACUCAUGUGACGAAGCCAAAGAUGCUACAAUCCAAUAGCAUAUUAUCUACCAAUUCUAAGGAUACAGAGAUCACCGUAGUACUAUGUAACCCCACAAUUAAGCCACGUGAUUUUAUUUAUAAAAUUUAGAAGAGAGAAAAUGGGAAGAACUUAAAAUAUCAAACUAUUGAAAUUAAUAAAUAAUCUAUUAUUUUGUGAAUUUUAUGCAAAUAAAAGUUGAUUACUAAGAAAAUGAGUUUAAUUAUGGUAAAUUUAUAGACAAAUAAACCCAAGAAAAGUUUAAAAGUUAAAUUUAAACCAUAAACAUAAUAAAUUAGGGGUUUAGGGACCCAAAUGAAAGAAAUAAAAAACUUUAGGGACUUUUGGCAAACUGAAAAGGAGCCUAGGGUCCUAAAGAAAAGAAAAUUUCAAAAUUUGGGGCUUUUUGUAAAUUCAUGAAACUGAGAGAUGUUAGAGUGUGAUAUGUCUCCAGCCCAAUCGGUGUCCAAGCUACGUGGCGGACACACAAGUAGGGUGCACGCGUGGAAGCCAUGCCGGCAAAGAGAGAAGUAUACAGAUCGGAUGGCUCAGAUCGCACGUGGGAGAUCCAGCGGCCGAGAUAUCGCGCAACGGACAACUGAGAUCGCAUCUUGCUUAAAGAAACGACUCAUAGCUAUUCUCGCCUAAAAUUUGAACGAAUUUCCCACCUAAAUGGAAAGAAUGGCAUUUAAAGAUUAGAUGAACAACUUAGUUUGCAUGAUUCCAAUGGCCAAGAUUUAAGGAAACAUAGAAUGUCCAAAAUAAUCUUAAACUUUGUCUCCCCCGAGGGUAGAGAAGAAGCUAACAGGGAAAAAAGGAAGGAGGGGGCAUCGGUCGACUGGGAGUGGCAGAUUCCCAAUCAGCCAAUCGCGUGAGAGAGAGAGAGAGAGAGAGAGAUAAUAGGGCAGAUCUGCGACAGCAGCUGGUGAUCUGUCCAGUUGUGACCAAAUUGGCGUGAUAGUGUUGUUUGACACGGCAGUUGGAACCAAAAGGCCAAAAAAGGAAGAAAAAGAAUCAUCGUGUCGAUCCGAGAGAGAAGAAAGAAACAACAGGUAGAGGAGCGAUCGAGAGACUUCAGCCACGCGUGAAGAAGAUCGGUGCAGAGUGAAUUGAAUAGAGAGAGAGUAGUAGUAGGUGAGCAGGACCAACGUGCAAUGACAAAAAGGGAGUAGAAGGUCGAGUUGAGAGCAUACCGAAGAGGUGAUGACCACCCUUCGGCAGAUGACAUGUUGAAUUACUACCAAAGUUGGUCAAUCCACGAUAUGUCGUUCCCUUCUAAUUAAGUUCGUUUUAUACCUUUAUAAGCCUCUAACUAUGAUACAUCCUUACAGGGAAGUGAAGGAUAUAAUCCUGUUGAGUGAGUUGAGGUCUCGGACCUAGAAUUACAGUUUGAAGAACCAAUUCAAGGGCUAAAAUUGGAAAA